UACGUAGGUGACAAGCGUUGUCCGGAUUUACUGGGCGUAAAGAGCGCGCAGGCGGUCGUUCAAGUCGAGUGUGAAAGCCCCCGGCUCAACUGGGGAGGGUCACUCGAUACUGAUCGACUCGAAGGCAGGAGAGGGAAGUGGAAUUCCCGGUGUAGUGGUGAAAUGCGUAGAUAUCGGGAGGAACACCAGUGGCGAAGGCGACUUCCUGGCCUGUUCUUGACGCUGAGGCGCGAAAGCUAGGGGAGCAAACAGG
Molecule: ribosomal RNA, 253 nt
Filed under: uncultured bacterium
Lineage: Bacteria
Description: partial 16S ribosomal RNA
Rfam family: Bacterial small subunit ribosomal RNA
Source: RNAcentral